This 74-nucleotide transfer RNA is filed under the name Capsicum annuum. It matches the Rfam family "tRNA". From Rfam's summary of the family: Transfer RNA (tRNA) molecules are approximately 80 nucleotides in length. Their secondary structure includes four short double-helical elements and three loops (D, anti-codon, and T loops). Lineage: Eukaryota; Viridiplantae; Streptophyta; Magnoliopsida; Solanales; Solanaceae. The record is from Rfam by way of RNAcentral.
GUUCUCUUAGUUCGGUUCGAUAGAAGGUGGGUUUCCAAAACCCGAUGUCGUAGGUUCAUAUCCUACAUAGAGUG